UACCUAGCAACAGCAAGAUAAGCAGCCC
RNAcentral lists this non-coding RNA (28 nucleotides) under Mus musculus (house mouse). Lineage: Eukaryota; Metazoa; Chordata; Mammalia; Rodentia; Muridae. The record is from RNAcentral.